RNAcentral lists this ribosomal RNA (250 nucleotides) under uncultured bacterium. RNAcentral describes it as "partial 16S ribosomal RNA". It matches the Rfam family "Bacterial small subunit ribosomal RNA", at positions 505 to 754 of the family's 1533-position model. The record is from RNAcentral.
GUGCCAGCAGCCGCGGUAAUACAGAGGGUGCAAGCGUUAAUCGGAUUUACUGGGCGUAAAGCGCGCGUAGGUGGCCAAUUAAGUCAAAUGUGAAAUCCCCGAGCUUAACUUGGGAAUUGCAUUCGAUACUGGUUGGCUAGAGUAUGGGAGAGGAUGGUAGAAUUCCAGGUGUAGCGGUGAAAUGCGUAGAGAUCUGGAGGAAUACCGAUGGCGAAGGCAGCCAUCUGGCCUAAUACUGACACUGAGGUGC